ACAAAAUGCAAGUAGGAUUUUCCGGUGAAAUGGCCAAAUACAGAUAAAAUAAAAUAAAAUAAAGCCCUUUUAACAUGAUUGAAACAAGAACGUUAGUCAGGGAAUGUGUACAAGGUAUAAAAUAUGAAGAAACAUUGUUUUCACAGAUUUAAAAAAAAAAAAGCCUUUCAAAAGGGGGACGAAAGAUACCAAAGGGACAGUCAAACUCAUAAAUCUAAAAUAAACUGACAACGCCAUGGCUAAAAAUGAAAAGGACAAACAGACAAACAAUAGAACACAUAGAAAACUAAAGAA
Molecule: long non-coding RNA, 294 nt
Filed under: Mytilus galloprovincialis (Mediterranean mussel)
Lineage: Eukaryota; Metazoa; Mollusca; Bivalvia; Mytilida; Mytilidae
Source: RNAcentral